This 460-nucleotide ribosomal RNA is filed under the name uncultured bacterium. RNAcentral describes it as "partial 16S ribosomal RNA". It matches the Rfam family "Bacterial small subunit ribosomal RNA", at positions 338 to 795 of the family's 1533-position model. The record is from RNAcentral.
CCUACGGGAGGCAGCAGUGAGGAAUAUUGGUCAAUGGGCGCGAGCCUGAACCAGCCAAGUAGCGUGAAGGAUGACUGCCCUACGGGUUGUAAACUUCUUUUAUAAAGGAGUAAAGUGAGGCACGUGUGCCUUUUUGUAUGUACUUUAUGCAUAAGGAUCGGCUAACUCCGCGCCAGCCGCCGCGGUAAUACGGAGGGUACGCGCGUUAUGCGGAUUUAUUGGGUUUAAAGGGCACGGAGCAGGGUUGUUAAGUCAGUUGUGAAAGUUUUCGGCUCAACCGGAAAAUUGCAAUUGAUACGGGCAGGCUUGAGUACAGUUGAGGUAGGUGGAAUUCCAGGUGUAGCGGUGAAAUGCGUAGAGAUCACGAAGAACUCCGAUUGCGAAGGCAGCCCACUAAACUGCCACUGACAUUGAUGCUCGAAAGUGUGGGUAUCAAACAGGAUUAGAUACCCGAGUAGUC